UACAGAGGUGGCAAGCGUUGUUCGGAAUUACUGGGCGUAAAGGGCGCGUAGGCGGUCCGUCAAGUCCCGUGUGAAAGCCCCCGGCUCAACCGGGGAACGGCGCGGGAAACUAGCAGGCUUGAGUUCGGGAGAGGGAAGCGGAAUUCCGGGUGUAGCGGUGAAAUGCGCAGAUAUCCGGAGGAACACCGGUGGCGAAGGCGGCUUCCUGGACCGACACUGACGCUGAGGCGCGAAAGCUAGGGGAGCAAACGGG
RNAcentral lists this ribosomal RNA (253 nucleotides) under uncultured bacterium. RNAcentral describes it as "partial 16S ribosomal RNA". It matches the Rfam family "Bacterial small subunit ribosomal RNA", at positions 524 to 776 of the family's 1533-position model. The record is from RNAcentral.